CCUACGGGAGACAGCAGUGGGGAAUAUUCCACAAUGGGGGAAACCUUGAUGCAGCAACGCCGCGUGCGUGAAGAAGUAUUUCGGUAUGUAAAGCUCUAUCAGCAGGGAAGAAGAAAGACGGUACCUGACUAUUAAGCCCCGGCUAACUACGUGCCAGCAGCCGCGGUUAUACGUAGGGGGCAAGCGUUAUCCGGAUUUACUGGGUGUAAAGGGAGCGUAGACGGCUGUGCAAGUCUGAAGUGAAAGCCCGUGGCCCAACCGCGGAACUGCUUUGGAAACUGGAUAGCUUGAGUAAUAGAGAGGCAGGCGGAAUUCCUAGUGAAGCGGUGGAAUGCGUAGAUAUUAGGAGGAACACCAGUGGCGAAGGCGGCCUGCUGGACAGAAACUGACGUUGAGGCUCGAAAGCGUGGGGAGCAAACAGGAUUAGAUACCCGAGUAGUC
This 441-nucleotide ribosomal RNA is filed under the name uncultured bacterium. RNAcentral's name for it is "partial 16S ribosomal RNA". It matches the Rfam family "Bacterial small subunit ribosomal RNA", at positions 338 to 795 of the family's 1533-position model. The record is from RNAcentral.